Molecule: long non-coding RNA, 352 nt
Organism: Alnus glutinosa
Lineage: Eukaryota; Viridiplantae; Streptophyta; Magnoliopsida; Fagales; Betulaceae
Exons: 3
Source: RefSeq, a predicted model, not a curated record
GGGAGGGAUUGUGGUUUCUUGCAGGAGAUCCCGCUGUUGAAGGAUUUGAGGGGAGUCAUUUGGUUUUUGUGGCUGCUGGAGCAGACCCAUUUGAUGUAAUCACAAAUGCAGUGAAAUGCCAGACAUGUUGAACUGGUUUGGCUGGUGUACAUGGGAUGCUUUCUUUACUGAUGUCACUUCAGAGGGCGUAAAGCAAGGUUUAGAGAGCUUAGAGAAGGGUGGAAUUCCUCCAAAAUUUGUUAUAAUUGAUGAUGGAUGGCAAUCAGUUAGCAUAGAUCCCACUGGCACUGAAUCCAAAGCUGAUAACUCAGCCAAGUGAGUGCUUUAUGCAAAAGACUUUUCUUUCUUUUGU